Molecule: ribosomal RNA, 39 nt
Filed under: Prevotella communis
Lineage: Bacteria; Pseudomonadati; Bacteroidota; Bacteroidia; Bacteroidales; Prevotellaceae
Description: 16S rRNA. Bacterial SSU
Source: RNAcentral
UUACAAUGAAGAGUUUGAUCCUGGCUCAGGAUGAACGCU